GCUACGGGUGGCAGCAGUGAGGAAUAUUGGUCAAUGGGCGUAAGCCUGAACCAGCCAAGUCGCGUGAGGGAUGAAGGUUCUAUGGAUCGUAAACCUCUUUUAUAAGGGAAUAAAGUGUGGGACGUGUCCUGUUUUGUAUGUACCUUAUGAAUAAGGAUCGGCUAACUCCGUGCCAGCAGCCGCGGUAAUACGGAGGAUCCGAGCGUUAUCCGGAUUUAUUGGGUUUAAAGGGUGCGUAGGCGGCCUUUUAAGUCAGCGGUGAAAGUCUGUGGCUUAACCAUAGAAUUGCCGUUGAAACUGUGAGGCGUGAGUAUGUUUGAGGCAGGCGGAAUGCGUGGUGUAGCGGUGAAAUGCAUAGAUAUCGCGCAGAACUCCGAUUGCGAAGGCAGCGUACCGGCGCCGGACUGACGCUGAGGCACGAAAGCGUGGGUAUCGAACAGGAUUAGAUACCCUUGUAGUC
This 460-nucleotide ribosomal RNA is filed under the name uncultured bacterium. Its description in RNAcentral is "partial 16S ribosomal RNA". It matches the Rfam family "Bacterial small subunit ribosomal RNA", at positions 338 to 795 of the family's 1533-position model. The record is from RNAcentral.